Molecule: transfer RNA, 67 nt
Filed under: Bouchetitrochus caledonicus
Lineage: Eukaryota; Metazoa; Mollusca; Gastropoda; Pleurotomariida; Pleurotomariidae
Description: tRNA-Ser
Source: RNAcentral
GGCUACUAGCCCGGGGCCAAACCUGUCUUGAAAAUAGGUUUUAAGUGUUCGACUCACUUGGUGGCUU